This 661-nucleotide ribosomal RNA is filed under the name uncultured fungus. RNAcentral describes it as "eukaryotic LSU rRNA". It matches the Rfam family "Eukaryotic large subunit ribosomal RNA", at positions 24 to 664 of the family's 3401-position model. The record is from RNAcentral. Lineage: Eukaryota; Fungi.
CCCGCUGAACUUAAGCAUAUCAAUAAGCGGAGGAACAAGAAACUAACAAGGAUUCCCCUAGCAACGGCGAGGGAAGAGGGAAGAGCUCAAAUUUUGAAUCUGGCACCUUUGGUGUCUCGAGUUGUAAUCUAGAGAAGUGCUUUCUGUGGCGGACCGUGCACAAGUCUCCUGGAAUGGAGCGUGAUAGAGGGUGAGAAUCCCGUAUAUGGCACGGACUCCCGUUGCUCUGUGAAACACUCUCAACUGAGUCGAGUUGUUUGGGAAUGCAGCUCCAAAUGGGUGGUAAAUGCCAUCUAAAGCUAAAUAUUGGCGAGAGACCGAUAGGGAACAAGUACCGUGAGGGAAAGAUGAAAAGCACUUUGGAAAGAGAGUGAAACAGUACGUGAAAUUGUUGAAAGGGAAACAUUUGAAGUCAGUCAUGCCCUUUGGGAUUCGGCCUUGCUUCUGCUUGGUUUACUUCCUGUGUGGGUGGGUCAACAUCAGUUUCGGUCAGAGGAAAAAGGCUUGGGGAAGGUGGCAGCAUUGCUCUGUGUUAUAGCCCCUUCUUGUAUACUUUGACUGGGACUGAGGACCGCAGCGCGCCUUUACGGCCGGGGCUUUGCCCCCGUACACGCUUAGGAUGUUGGCAUAAUGGCUUUAAGUGACCCGUCUUGAAACACGG